UCACUCACGCACUCACUAUGUUUUGGAAGAAUUAGGUAGGGUAGUUUAUUCGACCAGGGCCUUCAGAGCAACUUAAUGUUCUUUUUAAAGUUUUUAGCAACAUGGUAAAUGAGAUAAACGUACAUAUGUGGUUUAUGAUGGUGUAUGAAUAUGUUUAUGACUGUUUCACGUUUUGAAUAACAUAUCGAAUGUUGUUGUAUUUUUCAGCAUCCAUAUAUGAAACAACUACUGAAAGGUCGGUUCAUUUCCAAAGCAGCCCUUAUGAACACAUCGAAGAACAGGGGACUUCUGGCGCCGGAAAUUUUCAAGCAGAUGGGGAAGAGUACUACAGUCAGCUGGGAUCUUGGUGGUAAAUAGAUACGAAUUUCCUUGUAA
Long non-coding RNA from Haliotis rufescens (red abalone), 375 nucleotides. RefSeq lists it as uncharacterized. The record is from RefSeq and is a predicted model, not a curated record. The transcript has 3 exons. Lineage: Eukaryota; Metazoa; Mollusca; Gastropoda; Lepetellida; Haliotidae.